RNAcentral lists this ribosomal RNA (253 nucleotides) under uncultured bacterium. RNAcentral describes it as "partial 16S ribosomal RNA". It matches the Rfam family "Bacterial small subunit ribosomal RNA", at positions 524 to 776 of the family's 1533-position model. The record is from RNAcentral.
UACGGGGGGGGCAAGCGUUGUUCGGAAUUACUGGGCGUAAGGGGCGCGUAGGCGGCCUGCUAAGUCGGACGUGAAAUCCCUCGGCUCAACCGGGGAACUGCGUCCGAUACUGGUGGGCUCGAAUCCGGGAGAGGGAUGUGGAAUUCCAGGUGUAGCGGUGAAAUGCGUAGAUAUCUGGAGGAACACCGGUGGCGAAGGCGGCAUCCUGGACCGGCAUUGACGCUGAGGCGCGAAAGCCAGGGGAGCAAACGGG